Long non-coding RNA from Diospyros lotus (date-plum), 971 nucleotides. RefSeq lists it as uncharacterized. Lineage: Eukaryota; Viridiplantae; Streptophyta; Magnoliopsida; Ericales; Ebenaceae. The record is from RefSeq and is a predicted model, not a curated record. The transcript has 5 exons.
GAUGGCAUGACAGGUAAUAGGGAUGCAGGCCAUGUCAUGACUGGAGGAGCCUUAAACUCUAAUCAUGUUGUAGAGGCGGGAGUGUUUGGAAUGGCGCAACAAGGAUAUUGUAACAAUAAUAGUUGGCAAUGGAUGCAUCUAAGAGACACACAUCCACAUGCGAGCUUACCACUUCAAGGCAUGUUUCAACCGUGGAAUGUUACAACGUCUCAACAAAGGGAAUUCCUCUCAAAUGAUUUCUUAAUGUCACAGGAGGCUUCUUCAUUACAAAUGUUUGCAUCUCCGACAAUAACUACAAGCCAACAAGUUGUGAGUUCGUCAACAUCAAACAUUAUGAAGUAAUCGACAUUGUAAAAAGCAGUGGUUCACUAAGUAUUUUGAAGUUGCUAGUGUGAACUAAACAACGCAUCCUAAGCUUAAUUGGGCGAGGCCACGGAAAAAGAAACCUUCUUCUGCCAUGCAGCGUAAGUCCGUGCCUAUCCGCAACUUGUUUGUUGCAAAUUUUUCAUACGAAAUCACGGAUGAGGAUCUUAAGGAGUUUUUCAAUUCUGAUAAUGCCAAUGUUGUUUUUGCGGAAAUUAUAUUUCAUGAAAAUCCAAGGUCUGUUGGGUAUGGAUUUGUAUUCUCCAAUUCCAAGGAGGCUGAAGCUACUCUCACUGCUUUUGAAGGAAAGUUAUGUAUAGGAAGACCAAUUUGAGUGGCUCCUAGCAGAAGAUUUUUGAGACAAGCAACGAAAAUGAGUACUCAAUUGGCGAAUGCGUCAAAUAAACCAAACCCUGAUGCUGAACAAGCAGAAGCCCUUGAAGCUUGAUGGUGAAUUUUCUUGGACAGUUUAGGUUUUUCAGUUUUUUCUUUUGAGGUUGUAAAAGAUACUAAGAUAUGUGUAACCAGUUAUUUGUUUAAUUAAUGUAUGCCCCCACUCACCCAAAAAUGGGGGUGGGAGGACUCCUUUUACUCUACUGUAGUUUCUU